AGAGAGAAUGGCGUCCUCGGCGACGAGAGUAGAUCUGGACGGGAGCCCGAUAAAGCCGAUGACGAUAUGCAUGAUCGGCGCCGGAGGCUUCAUCGGGUCCCACCUCUGCGAGAAGCUCAUGGCGGAGACGCCGCACAAGGUGUUAGCCCUAGACGUGUACAAUGACAAGAUAAAGCAUCUGCUGGAGCCAUCCGACGGUCAUCCUUGGUCCGAUCGCAUCCAGUUCCACCGCCUCAACAUCAAGCACGACUCCCGCCUUGAAGGCCUCAUCAAGACCUCAGAUCUGGUACCUCAUUCUUCUUCAUUCUUUCUCACUUAGUUACUUGAUUUGGUUUUGAACGGCUCGGAUUCGUUGUCGCAGACUAUCAAUCUCGCCGCGAUCUGCACUCCGGCGGACUACAACACGCGCCCGCUGGACACUAUUUACAGUAACUUCAUCGAUGCCUUGCCUGUGGUACAUUUUUAUUUUUAUUUUUGUGAAAAUUGAGAUUUGAUUGUGAAAUUUAGGAGAUGAUUCAAGUUGAUUUGAGUUUUGUGGAUGAUUUUGAUAGGUGAAGUACUGUUCUGAAAAUAACAAGAGGUUGAUUCACUUUUCCACUUGUGAAGUGUAUGGGAAGACCAUUGGAAGCUUUCUUCCUAAAGAUAGCCCCCUUCGUCAGGUAGCCUCUCCCUUUCUUUAUCUUUUCUUUAUAUGUCGAUUUCAGAUCUCUGAGUUUAUUGACAUUUAAUCUGUGUUAAAAUGUCUCAUUUUUGCGUAAUUCGAACUCUUCGAUUGCAAUAUUCAGUUUCGAGAUCCGUUAUUUGUGUCGGUGGGGUGCCAUUUUACUUUAAGCUUACACUGAAACCUGUAGAUCCAGAGCAUUGUAAAGAAUAAAACUACAUAAAUGUACUGAUAUUUGUCGGAACAGAACUGUGAACUGUACUGACAUGAUAGUAGUAGGGACUUGAGUAAAAAGCAGUUGAGAAUUUGUUGAUUUACUGCACAGGGGAACCACACAUUUUUCUAAGGUUUAUGCUUUUAUUUUAAGAUUGGAAAUUGUGAAUAACUUUAUUGUCCUUGCUCUAUGUUGCGAUAAGAAAAGCAAGUAAACAAAAAUAAAUUUAGGUGCUCUCUGGUUUUCCGAUUCGAGGAUGGCUAUGUUAUUGACAUGCAUUGAAAUUGACAUAUCUUCAGAUUAACGUAAUGCAACUUUGUUAUUAACUGGUCCAAGACAGUGCAUUAUAUAUGGAUGAGACAGACAUCAUGUAAAAAAUAAAAAGGCAAAUGGAGGGAAGAAUAGGUUAUAUACAAAUGCACCAGUUCUAUUUUCAUUGAGUUUUUCAUUACUCGUCUUCAUUUUCAUUUUCAUUUCAUAAAGUAACUAGUUGAAAUGCCAUUGCCAACAACAGCAAGUGCAAGUGAGUGUUUCUUUUACCAGAAAAUCUAACUUCCUCCUUGUCAUUUUUCAUAGGAUCCUGAAUAUUAUCUGCUUAAAGAAAAUGAUUCCCCUUGCAUCUUUGGGUCAAUUGAGAAGCAAAGAUGGUCAUAUGCUUGUGCAAAGCAAUUGAUCGAGAGGCUGAUAUAUGGUUAGUCAUCUCUGUUUUUCUCUUACCUUCUAUUUUUGGUCUCUCUAGCGUGGGUCUGACUUACUUUCUUCUUGUUAACAGCCGAGGGUGCAGAAAAUGGUCUCGAGUUUACCAUUGUCAGACCCUUUAACUGGAUCGGACCUAGGAUGGAUUUCAUUCCUGGUAUUGAUGGCCCAAGUGAGGGUGUUCCAAGAGUUCUAGCAUGC
Molecule: long non-coding RNA, 1772 nt
Filed under: Fragaria vesca (wild strawberry)
Lineage: Eukaryota; Viridiplantae; Streptophyta; Magnoliopsida; Rosales; Rosaceae
Description: long non-coding RNA (FVES_LNC001262)
Source: RNAcentral